Molecule: ribosomal RNA, 518 nt
Filed under: Pagamea anisophylla
Lineage: Eukaryota; Viridiplantae; Streptophyta; Magnoliopsida; Gentianales; Rubiaceae
Description: eukaryotic LSU rRNA
Rfam family: 5.8S ribosomal RNA (bases 218-372)
Source: RNAcentral
CUGCGGAAGGAUCAUUGUCGAAUUCUGGCCCCAGAAAGACCGCGAACAAGUUAUCAAAAACCCGAGGCGCGGGCGGGCACGGUGAAACCUCGCCCGUCGGCUCCCGCACACAACCUAACUCUCGGCGCGGGAUGCGCCAAGGACUACUGAAACGGACUGCCGUGCGCCCGGCAGCCCACGCCGGUCGUGAGCGGCGUCUGGUCGUUCUAACCGAAACGACUCUCGGCAACGGAUAUCUAGGCUCUCGCAUCGAUGAAGAACGUAGCAAAAUGCAUACUUGGUGUGAAUUGCAGAAUCCCGUGAACCAUCGAGUUUUUGAACGCAAGUUGCCCCCGAAGCCAACAGGCCGAGGGCACGUCUACCUGGGCGUCACGCAUCGCGUCGCCACCCCCUCCCCCCACCCGCGCGUUUCGUUGCGAGCUCAAUCGUUUGCUGCCGAGACGACCCUCGACGGGAAUGAAACAACCCCGGAGCCCGUCACGGGCCUCAAACCGCGACCCCAGGUCAGGCGGGAUUAC